RNAcentral lists this ribosomal RNA (253 nucleotides) under uncultured bacterium. Its description in RNAcentral is "partial 16S ribosomal RNA". It matches the Rfam family "Bacterial small subunit ribosomal RNA", at positions 524 to 776 of the family's 1533-position model. The record is from RNAcentral.
UACAGAGGGGGCAAGCGUUGUUCGGAAUUACUGGGCGUAAAGGGCGCGUAGGCGGCCUCUUAAGUCGAACGUGAAAUCCCCGGGCUCAACCCAGGAACUGCGUCCGAUACUGAAAGGCUUGAAUCCGGGAGAGGGAUGCGGAAUUCCAGGUGUAGCGGUGAAAUGCGUAGAUAUCUGGAGGAACACCGGUGGCGAAGGCGGCAUCCUGGACCGGUAUUGACGCUGAGGCGCGAAAGCCAGGGGAGCAAACAGG